UACCAGACUCCUACGGGAGGCAGCAGUGGGGAAUAUUGCACAAUGGGGGGAACCCUGAUGCAGCGACGCCGCGUGAAGGAAGAAGUAUUUCGGUAUGUAAACUUCUAUCAGCAGGGAAGAAAAAGGACGGUACCUGACUAAGAAGCCCCGGCUAACUACGUGCCAGCAGCCGCGGUAAUACGGAGGAUGCGAGCGUUAUCCGGAUUUAUUGGGUUUAAAGGGUGCGUAGGCGGAUUUUUAAGUCAGCGGUAAAAUGUCCGGGCUCAACCCGGGCCGGCCGUUGAAACUGGGGAUCUUGAGUGGGCGAGAAGUAUGCGGAAUGCGUGGUGUAGCGGUGAAAUGCAUAGAUAUCACGCAGAACUCCGAUUGCGAAGGCAGCAUACCGGCGCCCGACUGACGCUGAGGCACGAAAGCGUGGGGAUCGAACAGGAUUAGAUACCCGUGUA
Molecule: ribosomal RNA, 446 nt
Filed under: uncultured bacterium
Lineage: Bacteria
Description: bacterial SSU rRNA
Rfam family: Bacterial small subunit ribosomal RNA
Source: RNAcentral